RNAcentral lists this long non-coding RNA (239 nucleotides) under Manihot esculenta (cassava). RNAcentral's name for it is "long non-coding RNA (MESC_LNC012239)". Lineage: Eukaryota; Viridiplantae; Streptophyta; Magnoliopsida; Malpighiales; Euphorbiaceae. The record is from RNAcentral.
UGCAUCUAACACCGUAGUGGCAGGUAACUUAAUCAUUGGUUGUUCAGAUGUGUAUGCCUUGAUGGACCCUGGUGCAUCUCAUUCUUUUAUUGCUCCGAGAGCCGUGGGGAGGUUGGGUCUGAUGACUUCUGGGUUAGAGUGUCAUCUCUGGGUUAGUGGACCCAAGUGUGAUCCAUCAGUGGCAGAGUCAGUCUGCCAGUGUAGUCCUGUGUUUGUUGAGGGAAGAUGCUUGUCCGCCG